This 582-nucleotide ribosomal RNA is filed under the name Turridrupa astricta. Its description in RNAcentral is "partial 12S ribosomal RNA". It matches the Rfam family "Bacterial small subunit ribosomal RNA", at positions 506 to 1403 of the family's 1533-position model. The record is from RNAcentral. Lineage: Eukaryota; Metazoa; Mollusca; Gastropoda; Neogastropoda; Turridae.
UGCCAGCAGUCGCGGUUACACCAAGGAAUUAAGUCAUAUCUCAACGGUAAAAAGGCAGUUAGACAGACAUUUUAGGGUUUUUUGAUUAUUUAUAGAAAAGUAAAAUUUGCAUAUAAAUAUAUAAGUUAACAAUAACUAUUAGGUUGAAUCUGCGAUAGCCUGGAGGGAAACUGGGAUUAGAUACCCCAUUAUUCCUGGUCAUAAAUUAAUUAUUAAAUUUACCAGAGUACUAUGAAUACUAUAAAAUUUAAAACUCAAAGGACUUGGCGGUGUUUUAGACCACUUAGGGGAACCUGUCUCAUAAUCGAUAAUCCACGUUACACCUAACCUUUUUUUGCUUUCAGUCUGUAUAUCGUUGUCGUCAGGUAACUUUUUAGAAACUAGAAGUUAGCUAAAAACAUUAAAUUUUAACGUCAAAUCAAGGUGCAGCUAAUAAAAAGGUGAAGAUGGGUUACAAUUAUUUUAAUUAUAAUAACGAAAAACCAUUAGAAUUAAUGGUUAGAAGGAGGACUUAAAAGUAAAUUAAAUUAUAUAAAUAAUUUGAAUAAGGCUCUGAAAUGUGCACACAUCGCCCGCCACUCU